GGAUGCGAUCAUACCAGCACUAAUGCACUGGAUCCCAUCAGAACUCCGAAGUUAAGCGUGCUUGGCGAGAGUAGUAUUAGGAUGGGUGACCUCCUAGGAAGUCCUCGUGUUGCAUUCC
This 118-nucleotide ribosomal RNA is filed under the name Triticum aestivum (bread wheat). The record is from RNAcentral. Lineage: Eukaryota; Viridiplantae; Streptophyta; Magnoliopsida; Poales; Poaceae.